AGUGAACGCUGGCGGUAGGCCUAACACAUGCAAGUCGAACGGCAGCACAGUAAGAGCUUGCUCUUACGGGUGGCGAGUGGCGGACGGGUGAGGAAUACAUCGGAAUCUACUUUUUCGUGGGGGAUAACGUAGGGAAACUUACGCUAAUACCGCAUACGACCUACGGGUGAAAGCAGGGGAUCUUCGGACCUUGCGCGAUUGAAUGAGCCGAUGUCGGAUUAGCUAGUUGGCGGGGUAAAGGCCCACCAAGGCGACGAUCCGUAGCUGGUCUGAGAGGAUGAUCAGCCACACUGGCACUGGGACACGGUCCAGACUCCUACGGGAGGCAGCAGUGGGGAAUAUUCGACAAUGGGCGCAAGCCUGAUCCAGCCAUCCCGCGUGGGUGAAGAAGGCCUUCGGGUUGUAAAGCCCUUUUGUUGGGAAAGAAAAGCAGCAGGUUAAUACCCCGCUGUUCUGACGGUACCCAAAGAAUAAGCACCGGCUAACUUCGUG
This 492-nucleotide ribosomal RNA is filed under the name uncultured bacterium. Its description in RNAcentral is "partial 16S ribosomal RNA". It matches the Rfam family "Bacterial small subunit ribosomal RNA", at positions 29 to 507 of the family's 1533-position model. The record is from RNAcentral.